This 253-nucleotide ribosomal RNA is filed under the name uncultured bacterium. RNAcentral describes it as "partial 16S ribosomal RNA". It matches the Rfam family "Bacterial small subunit ribosomal RNA", at positions 524 to 776 of the family's 1533-position model. The record is from RNAcentral.
UACGUAGGGGGCAAGCGUUGUUCGGAAUUACUGGGCGUAAAGGGCGCGUAGGCGGCCUUCUAAGUCAGACGUGAAAUCCCCCGGCUUAACCUGGGAACUGCGUCUGAUACUGGGAGGCUUGAGUAUGGGAGAGGGAUGUAGAAUUCCAGGUGUAGCGGUGAAAUGCGUAGAUAUCUGGAGGAAUACCGGUGGCGAAGGCGGCAUCCUGGACCGGUAUUGACGCUGAGGCGCGAAAGCCAGGGGAGCAAACGGG